UUAUUCUCAGGGUCGCUCCUGGAGAGUUGCCAGUACUCUACCAGUCUCGGCUAUAGGAGGGAGGGUCAAGCAGAGGCAUGCCCAUUCCAUUCCCAGCUUGGCCAGUGGCUAGCCAGUGGAAGACAAUCUGCAACAAGU
Molecule: small nucleolar RNA, 138 nt
Organism: Ornithorhynchus anatinus (platypus)
Lineage: Eukaryota; Metazoa; Chordata; Mammalia; Monotremata; Ornithorhynchidae
Source: RefSeq, a predicted model, not a curated record